AUUGAACGCUGGCGGCAGGCCUAACACAUGCAAGUCGAGCGGAUGAAGGGAGCUUGCUCCUGGAUUCAGCGGCGGACGGGUGAGUAAUGCCUAGGAAUCUGCCUGGUAGUGGGGGAUAACGUCCGGAAACGGGCGCUAAUACCGCAUACGUCCUGAGGGAGAAAGUGGGGGAUCUUCGGACCUCACGCUAUCAGAUGAGCCUAGGUCGGAUUAGCUAGUGGGUGGGGUAAAGGCCUACCAAGGCGACGAUCCGUAACUGGUCUGAGAGGAUGAUCAGUCACACUGGAACUGAGACACGGUCCAGACUCCUACGGGAGGCAGCAGUGGGGAAUAUUGGACAAUGGGCGAAAGCCUGAUCCAGCCAUGCCGCGUGUGUGAAGAAGGUCUUCGGAUUGUAAAGCACUUUAAGUUGGGAGGAAGGGCAGUAAGUUAAUACCUUGCUGUUUUGACGUUACCAAAAGAAUAAGCACCGGCUAACUUCGUG
This 484-nucleotide ribosomal RNA is filed under the name uncultured bacterium. Its description in RNAcentral is "partial 16S ribosomal RNA". It matches the Rfam family "Bacterial small subunit ribosomal RNA", at positions 30 to 507 of the family's 1533-position model. The record is from RNAcentral.